AAGCGAACGAGGACGCAAGAGGCGACAGUGUGCUCUUUCACCCUCUCACAUUGGGAGCAAAGGAAAGACGUGUCUCCGAAGAACAAGAAAAAAAAGAGAAAAAGAAAUCAGUCUGCGCUGCUGAAACGUGGUCAUGCACAAAGGAAGGAAGAGUCGUGUUUGCCAGGGCGUCAAGAGAAAUUCCCAUCUUGGAAGCAAUCUACUUGCCGGUAAACAAAUAAAGGAGGCUGUCACACAGAGCCAAAUUAAAGACGCGGUUCCCCCCACCAAGCUGCCUGGAGCUACACAAACCGCCACGGUCACUCGCAGGGAAGGACACGUGCAAACGACUCUCUUUUUAAUCGGUGGCAUAAAGUACGA
Long non-coding RNA from Ornithodoros turicata, 360 nucleotides. RefSeq lists it as uncharacterized. The transcript has 3 exons. Lineage: Eukaryota; Metazoa; Arthropoda; Arachnida; Ixodida; Argasidae. The record is from RefSeq and is a predicted model, not a curated record.